GAACGAGAAAGUGGAGCAAUCCAUGAGUAAAGUGGCGACCGGGUGAGUAACACGUGACUAACCUGCCCUUGAGUGGGGGAUAACCUCGGGAAACCGGGGCUAAUACCGCAUAACAUCGAGAGAUCAAAGCAACAAUGCGCUUGAGGAGGGGGUCGCGUCUGAUUAGCUAGUUGGUAGGGUAACGGCCUACCAAGGCGAUGAUCAGUAGCCGGCCUGAGAGGGCGCACGGCCACACUGGAACUGAAACACGGUCCAGACUCCUACGGGAGGCAGCAGUGGGGAAUUUUGCGCAAUGGGGGAAACCCUGACGCAGCAACGCCGCGUGGAGGAUGAAGUCCCUUGGGACGUAAACUCCUUUCGAUCGGGACGAUUAUGACGGUACCGGAAGAAGAAGCCCCGGCUAACUUCGUG
Molecule: ribosomal RNA, 411 nt
Filed under: uncultured bacterium
Lineage: Bacteria
Description: bacterial SSU rRNA
Rfam family: Bacterial small subunit ribosomal RNA
Source: RNAcentral